This is a long non-coding RNA of Oncorhynchus keta (chum salmon), 533 nucleotides long. RefSeq lists it as uncharacterized. The record is from RefSeq and is a predicted model, not a curated record. The transcript is spliced from 3 exons. NCBI's taxonomy places the organism in Eukaryota, Metazoa, Chordata, Actinopteri, Salmoniformes, Salmonidae.
AACUCCAACCCUGUUCCUGGAGAGAGACCCUCCUAUAGGUUAACUCCAACCCUGUUCCUGGAGAGAGACCCUCCUGUAGGUUUUAACUCCAACCCUGUUCCUGGAGAGACCCUCCUGUAGGUUUUAACUCCAACCCUGUUCCUGGAGAGAGACCCUCCUGUAGGUUUUAACUCCAACCCUGUUCCUGGAGAGAGACCCUCCUGUAGGUUUUAACUCCAACCCUGUUCCUGGAGAGAGACCCUCCUGUAGGUUUUAACUCCAACCCUGUUCCUGGAGAGAGACCCUCCUGUAGGUUUUAACUCCAACCCUGUUCCUGGAGAGAGACCCUCCUGUAGGUUUUAACUCCAACCCUGUUCCUGGAGAGAGACCCUCCUGUAGGUUUUAACUCCAACCCUGUUCCUGGAGAGAGACCCUCCUAUAGGUUAACUCCAACCCUGUUCCUGGAGAGAGACCCUCCUGUAGGUUUUAACUCCAACCCUGUUCCUGGAGAGAGACCCUCCUGUAGGUUUUAACUCCAACCCUGUUCCUGGAGA